CUACGGGUGGCUCCAGUGAGGAAUAUUGCACAAUGGGGGGAACCCUGAUGCAGCAACGCCGCGUGGAGGAUGACGCAUUUCGGUGUGUAAACUCCUUUUAUAUGUCAAGAAAAUGACGGUGGCAUAUGAAUAAGCACCGGCUAACUCCGUGCCAGCAGCCGCGGUAAUACGGAGGGUGCAAGCGUUACUCGGAAUCACUGGGCGUAAAGGACGCGUAGGCGGGUUGGAAAGUCAGGUGUGAAAUCCUACAGCUUAACUGUAGAACUGCACUUGAAACUUCUAAUCUAGAGUAUGGGAGGGGGAGAUGGAAUUAGUGGUGUAGGGGUAAAAUCCGUAGAUAUCACUAGGAAUACCUAAAGCGAAGGCGAUCUCCUGGAACAUUACUGACGCUAAGGCGUGAAAGCGUGGGGAUCAAACAGGAUUAGAUACCCCGUAGUC
This 438-nucleotide ribosomal RNA is filed under the name uncultured bacterium. RNAcentral describes it as "partial 16S ribosomal RNA". It matches the Rfam family "Bacterial small subunit ribosomal RNA", at positions 339 to 795 of the family's 1533-position model. The record is from RNAcentral.